Molecule: ribosomal RNA, 399 nt
Filed under: Paranucleospora theridion
Lineage: Eukaryota; Fungi; Microsporidia; Enterocytozoonidae
Description: SSU rRNA
Rfam family: Microsporidia small subunit ribosomal RNA
Source: RNAcentral
UCGGACAGGGAGCAUGGUAUAGGUUGGCGAAGAAUGAAAUCUCAAGACCCAACCUGGACCAACUGAGGCGAAAGCGGUGCUCUUGUACGCGUCUGUGGAUCAAGGACGAAGGCUAGAGGAUCGAAAGUGAUUAGACACCGCUGUAGUUCUAGCAGUAAACUAUGCCGACAUUCUCUGUUGUUGAGACGGGGAGGGGAGAAAUCUUAGUUUUCGGGCUCUGGGGAUAGUACGCUUGCAAGAGUGAAACUUAAAGCGAAAUUGACGGAAGAUCACCACAAGGAGUGGAUUGUACUGCUUAAUUUGACUCAACACGGGAAAACUUACCAGGGCCAAGUCUCUCGUAGAUUGGCGACAUGAGAGGGGCAAGAGUGGUGCAUGGCCGUUGGAAAUUGAUGGGAA